This 403-nucleotide ribosomal RNA is filed under the name bacterium. RNAcentral's name for it is "partial 16S ribosomal RNA". It matches the Rfam family "Bacterial small subunit ribosomal RNA", at positions 355 to 776 of the family's 1533-position model. The record is from RNAcentral.
UGGGGAAUAUUGCACAAUGGGGGAAACCCUGAUGCAGCGACGCCGCGUGAACGAAGAAGGUAUUCGUAUCGUAAAGUUCUGUCCUAUGGGAAGAUAAUGACAGUACCAUAGAAGAAAGCUCCGGCUAAAUACGUGCCAGCAGCCGCGGUAAUACGUAUGGAGCGAGCGUUGUCCGGAAUUAUUGGGCGUAAAGGGUACGCAGGCGGUUUAAUAAGUCGAAUGUUAAAGAUCGGGGCUCAACCCCGCAAAGCAUUGGAAACUGAUAAACUUGAGUAGUGGAGAGGAAAGUGGAAUUCCUAGUGUAGUGGUGAAAUACGUAGAUAUUAGGAGGAAUACCAGUAGCGAAGGCGUCUUUCUGGACACAAACUGACGCUGAGGUACGAAGGCGUGGGGAGCAAACAGG